AGAGCGAACGCUGGCGGCAGGCCUAACACAUGCAAGUCGAGCGCCCGUAGCAAUACGGGAGCGGCAGACGGGAUAGUAACACGUGGGAACGCGCCCUUCGGUUCGGAAUAACUCAGGGAAACUUGAGCUAAUACCGGAUACGCCCUUACGGGGAAAGAUUUAUUGCCGAAGGAACGGCCCGCGUCCGAUUAGCUAGUUGGUGAGGUAAUGGCUCACCAAGGCGACGAUCGGUAGCUGGUCUGAGAGGACGACCAGCCACACUGGGACUGAGACACGGCCCAGACUCCUACGGGAGGCAGCAGUGGGGAAUAUUGGACAAUGGGGGCAACCCUGAUCCAGCGACGCCGCGUGUGUGAAGAAGGCCUGCGGGUUGUAAAGCACUUUUAGUGGGGAUGAAAAGCUCAGGGUUAACACCUCGUGGGUCUUGACCUAACCCACAGAAAAAGCACCGGCUAACUCUGUGCCAGCAGCCGC
This 474-nucleotide ribosomal RNA is filed under the name uncultured bacterium. RNAcentral describes it as "SSU rRNA". It matches the Rfam family "Bacterial small subunit ribosomal RNA", at positions 26 to 518 of the family's 1533-position model. The record is from RNAcentral.